RNAcentral lists this ribosomal RNA (564 nucleotides) under uncultured Glomeromycotina. RNAcentral's name for it is "SSU rRNA". It matches the Rfam family "Eukaryotic small subunit ribosomal RNA", at positions 548 to 1114 of the family's 1831-position model. The record is from RNAcentral. Lineage: Eukaryota; Fungi; Glomeromycota.
UUGGAGGGCAAGUCUGGUGCCAGCAGCCGCGGUAAUUCCAGCUCCAAUAGCGUAUAUUAAAGUUGUUGCAGUUAAAAAGCUCGUAGUUGAAUUUCGGGGUUAGUAGGUUGGUCAUGCCACUGGUAUGUACUGGUCUCACUGAUUCCUCCUUCCUGAUGAGACGUAAUGCCAUUAAUUUGGUGUUGCGAGGAAUCUGGACUGUUACUUCGAAAAAAUUAGAGUGUUUAAAGCAGGCUAACGCUUGAAUACAUUAGCAUGGAAUAAUGAAAUAGGACGUUCGAUCUUAUUUUGUUGGUUUCUAGGAUUGACGUAAUGAUUAAUAGGGAUAGUUGGGGGCAUUAGUAUUCAAUUGUCAGAGGUGAAAUUCUUGGAUUUAUUGAAGACUAACUACUGCGAAAGCAUUUGCCAAGGAUGUUUUCAUUAAUCAAGAACGAAAGUUAGGGGAUCGAAGACGAUCAGAUACGUCGUAGUCUUAACCAUAGACUAUGCCGACUAGGGAUCGGAUGAUGUUAAUUUUUUAAUGACUCAUUCAACGCCUUACGGGAAACCAAAGUGUUUGGGUUC